AUAUGUGCUGUGAUGAAGCUAUUGUGGACUAGAGUUUCUGAUCUGGGGUUCAACUCAGAAGUUGAAGACAAACCCUUGGCUGUCUGAGCACCCUU
Non-coding RNA from Nelumbo nucifera (sacred lotus), 95 nucleotides. Lineage: Eukaryota; Viridiplantae; Streptophyta; Magnoliopsida; Proteales; Nelumbonaceae. The record is from Rfam.